This 253-nucleotide ribosomal RNA is filed under the name uncultured prokaryote. RNAcentral's name for it is "partial 16S ribosomal RNA". It matches the Rfam family "Bacterial small subunit ribosomal RNA", at positions 524 to 776 of the family's 1533-position model. The record is from RNAcentral.
UACAGAGGUCCCAAGCGUUGUUCGGAUUCACUGGGCGUAAAGGGUGCGUAGGUGGUUGGAUAAGUUUGAUGUGAAAUCUCCGGGCUUAACCCGGAAACUGCAUUGAAUACUAUCUGGCUUGAGGGUUGGAGGGGGGACUGGAAUACUUGGUGUAGCAGUGAAAUGCGUAGAUAUCAGGAGGAACACCCAUGGCGAAGGCAGCUAUCUGGGCUAACACUGACGCUGAGGUGCGAAAGCGUGGGGAGCGAACGGG